This 3354-nucleotide long non-coding RNA is filed under the name Nicotiana benthamiana. RNAcentral's name for it is "long non-coding RNA (NBEN_LNC023129)". The record is from RNAcentral. Lineage: Eukaryota; Viridiplantae; Streptophyta; Magnoliopsida; Solanales; Solanaceae.
AAAAAUAAAAAUCUUUUUGAAUUUUUAAUUUAUAACUUUUUUUUAGUUUUUCAAAUACAUCACAGAAAGUACGAUAACAAAAUACUAGACAAACUUUUACACCACGUAGAAGACUCAAAACUACUAGACAAUACAAGAAAGCAAAAGAAAACAAAACAGACUCAAAAUAUAAAAAGCCUCUUCAAACAACCUCCCAAAUACGAUGGUCUUGGGAUAUCAAUCAUGCUCGAGCUGUGAUAAAUGAACACAUACCUGAAUUAGAAAAAAUAAGACCAAAUAGAUUAGUGACUCAAGACACUAAGCGACACCACAACACCUCAUAUUGGACACAUGCAUGGCACGAUUGGGCUUUUUUUCUGAAAAUUAACUUACGUGGCCUAAAGUGGCUAGAAGUACAAACUCAAAAAAAGGGGAACUUAAAUAUAUGAAAAUACCUCAAUAAGGCUUUUAUGGAUUCAAAUACACAGUAAUCACGACCCAAAAUUAGUUUGUAGAGACGACCCAUUUUUGCAAAAAUGACCUAUGUAGCUAAAAGUGGCUAAAGAUGCAAACUAAAGAAGGACAGACCUUAAAGAAAUUUGACACCUAGUGUUGGACUCAAGAUCAUAAGGCAUGGGUAAUUGAACCACUUUACAAAAAUAACCCCAUUUUGCAAGAAUGGCUGGUGUGGCCAAAAGUGGCAAGACAUGUAAGAUUUGACUAAGACCCCGCAAAACCAAGAACACAAGACUAACUAGGAUGUCCAGAUCCUAUAUGGCUGCCUGCGUACCCCGCCCUAAGAGACGAGAAUUAGAUACGCGUAGUUAGGAAGAUCAGAUAAGGGAUAGAAUUUUUAGAAAAAUGCAUCCAAUUUGAAAAAACUAUUGUUUGUCUUUUUCAAAAAAUAAUGAAAAAUGUAAAAAAAAAUUGGAUUUUAUUUUUUCUAUUUCUUUUUUAUUUUUGAAAAAUGAUAGGAAAGUGCAAAAUCUUUUUUUGACUUUUUUUUUUGGAAAAUGAUGGAAAAAUGCAAAAUAUUUUUUUUGGAUUUUUUCAUUUUUUAGAAAACUGGUGAAAUAAAAAUAUAACUGGGCCUACUUGCUUCAUCUAUAUACCCUCAACCAUCAUUGGUCCGUCGAAUAACCUUUCUACCCUCAAAGACGCAACAUGUAUCAAAUAAGGAUGAUUUAAUGUCCUUUUGGGCCAUGGUCCCACUAGACAUAAUUUAGAUAGGCCUCUUGUAAAAGGACACAGUGCCUGAGACUGAGCCCUACUAGGUUUAAAUGAUAUGAUGCAGAUAAACAUGACAUAAAGGCUGACUUAAGUUAGGGGUUCACUAAACAAGGCAAUUCGGGACAGUACGUGAUCGAUGGAGGCUGCUCUAGCUAUUCGCUCACUCCACGCUGCCAGCCACCCCCCUAAAGACGCAGGUGGCUCACAGUGUAUGCUCAAACAUACUUUGAAAAUUUGUUGUAGAAAAAAAAUUUAUGGUUAUGCAAAUGAUGACAGUUUAUAAAGCAGUAACACAUAAAGAAAUGCGAUAAACAAAUAACCAACAAAACAAGGAAGUAAGAAAAACAAACAAGAUAAACUAAGCAAAUAAAAAAACAAACACCUCAACUGAAUAUCCUAAAAGCCAACAAGAUCAAGUACCAGCUCGAAUCUGCAAUAUCCCCAGCAGAUUCACCAGAGUUGUCACACCCUUUUUUUACAAACACCACUAACCCUCUUAAAAAUAAUAAAAAAGAUUUGUAAAGAUCACAGGUUUUUUUAAUUAAAAAGUGACAAAAUUGUGUUAGAAAAGAAAUAACUCAGAGUCGCCACAUGAUAUUAGUUUCGGUGUGCAGAGAUUCGGGUAAGGGGGUGCAUUUGAAUCGAGGAGAAGGUGUGAGACACUCCCCAAGUCCCUUAACUAGUAUGGUUGUGCAUUCGAUCUAGUUGGCAUUUAAAAUAGUCAAAUUGAGGUAAAAUAAAUACAGAAAAAAAUAAACACACAAUAGGCUCGAGAUCGUCCCCGCUUAAGAAAAGAGAAAUGAAAAUAAAAAUAAAAAUAAAAAUACUAAGAGUUUUACUUUCGGCUAUGCCACGAAUAAUAUAUAUAAAUCCUUCGAGGCAUUAUCUGGAUAAAUUUAACUAAAAAUAACCUCUCACCUCAAGAUUAACAAAAUCCUAUGACUUUUCUACCCAUUACUUAUAACAAUAGAAAUUCUCAAAAAACCACAGAAAGGCUAAAAUCUUAAAGUUGUACGGUAAAUCCCACGUUCGAGGAACUUUAGCCAUUUAAUUGGAAAAUUAUAUCAACUAUAAGAUGAAUUGAGAAUUAUAUUUGACUCAAACAGUGAAUUAGCACAAUACUUCAAAUACUUUUUAAUUUAAAUCACUAAAACACAUGAUUAUUUUGAAUACCUUAUAAGUGACCUUUAAAUGCUCAUACCAUUACUUACGGAAAGAAAAAGAAGUGCACAGAACACUUCUCUUCAUUUAUCAAAAACACCUUAAGCAACUAAUUGCAAAUUUAAUGUGAAAGCGGUAUUAAACUAAAGAUUUGAAUACAAGUUAAACUCACUCAAACUAGUAAUUUUACUAAGGAAUAAAACUUAAAGGAAGCUCAAUCAACGCAACAUAAUUUCGCUUAAGGAAUUAAACGAGAUCAUAGAAAUCACUAUUGAUUUUAAGCUAUCUUUUAAUGGCUCUCCUAAAGUUUGAUUCAUAAUAAUCCAUAUUAAGUAAAAGGAAAGAAAUGAACCUGUUGGAGCAAAAAAAAUUUAAAAGCGGUAGAAGAGAUCAACAAUUCCAAAGUUGAGCUCCAAAAAUUCGUUUAAGCAGCUGCAAUACCAAUGAGUAGGAACCGCGAGCCAAAUCAAAAUCGCGAACCCCGGACGGGAUCUCGAAUAGGUACCAGAAUCUUGAAGCCAAACCCGAUCUCAAACUCAAACUUUGAACAAAUUCCAACUUCAAAACAAAAAUUGAAACGUGAAGAGGGCGGAAUAUUUCUCCUUUCGCAGCUUAAUUAUAAAAAAUCAGUAAUAUUUUUUUGACGGAUGGAGGUUGCUGGAUUUCCUAUUUCUAAAUGAAUGUGUAUCUUUUCAAUUUUGAGAGAGUGAAUUUUGAUAGAAUCUAAAGUGGGAAGGCGUUAAGAUUGGUGGCUGCGAUGACUAUAUGUGUGUUCCAUUAGGAUUGGUGGCGGCUGCUGGUUGUUGUCUUGGUCUCUAGGGUUUUUUUGUUAGGUAUUAUGUGUUGUUCCUUAGGGUUUUUUCCUUGUUUUUGGUUAUGAAGAAGAAGGGAGCUGAUGGGGAGUCUCUAGAUUUAGGUCUUUCCUAGGGUUUGUAGUGAAAGAGAAGAAAAGAUGGGUCAUGGGAUUGGACUGCUCAUUUGGGC